RNAcentral lists this ribosomal RNA (492 nucleotides) under uncultured bacterium. RNAcentral describes it as "partial 16S ribosomal RNA". It matches the Rfam family "Bacterial small subunit ribosomal RNA", at positions 29 to 507 of the family's 1533-position model. The record is from RNAcentral.
AGUGAACGCUGGCGGUAGGCCUAACACAUGCAAGUCGAACGGCAGCACAGUAAGAGCUUGCUCUUACGGGUGGCGAGUGGCGGACGGGUGAGGAAUACAUCGGAAUCUACUUUUUCGUGGGGGAUAACGUAGGGAAACUUACGCUAAUACCGCAUACGACCUACGGGUGAAAGCAGGGGAUCUUCGGACCUUGCGCGAUUGAAUGAGCCGAUGUCGGAUUAGCUAGUUGGCGGGGUAAAGGCCCACCAAGGCGACGAUCCGUAGCUGGUCUGAGAGGAUGGACAGCCACACUGGAACUGAGACACGGUCCAGACUCCUACGGGAGGCAGCAGUGGGGAAUAUUGGACAAUGGGGGGAAACCUGAUCCAGCCAUACCGCGUGGGUGAAGAAGGCCUUCGGGUUGUAAAGCCCUUUUGUUGGGAAAGAAAAGCAGCAGGUUAAUACCCCGCUGUUCUGACGGUACCCAAAGAAUAAGCACCGGCUAACUUCGUG